RNAcentral lists this ribosomal RNA (253 nucleotides) under uncultured bacterium. RNAcentral's name for it is "partial 16S ribosomal RNA". It matches the Rfam family "Bacterial small subunit ribosomal RNA", at positions 524 to 776 of the family's 1533-position model. The record is from RNAcentral.
UACAGAGGGUGCGAGCGUUGUUCGGAAUUAUUGGGCGUAAAGGGCGCGUAGGCGGUGCGGUAAGUCACCUGUGAAAUCUCCUGGCUCAACUGGGAGCUUGCAGGCGAAACUGCCGUGCUGGAGUGUGGGAGAGGUGCGUGGAAUUCCUGGUGUAGCGGUGAAAUGCGUAGAUAUCAGGAGGAACACCUGUGGCGAAAGCGGCGCGCUGGACCACAACUGACGCUGAGGCGCGAAAGCUAGGGGAGCAAACAGG